This 392-nucleotide ribosomal RNA is filed under the name Escherichia coli. Its description in RNAcentral is "bacterial SSU rRNA". It matches the Rfam family "Bacterial small subunit ribosomal RNA", at positions 1141 to 1532 of the family's 1533-position model. The record is from RNAcentral. Lineage: Bacteria; Pseudomonadati; Pseudomonadota; Gammaproteobacteria; Enterobacterales; Enterobacteriaceae.
AAAGGAGACUGCCAGUGAUAAACUGGAGGAAGGUGGGGAUGACGUCAAGUCAUCAUGGCCCUUACGACCAGGGCUACACACGUGCUACAAUGGCGCAUACAAAGAGAAGCGACCUCGCGAGAGCAAGCGGACCUCAUAAAGUGCGUCGUAGUCCGGAUUGGAGUCUGCAACUCGACUCCAUGAAGUCGGAAUCGCUAGUAAUCGUGGAUCAGAAUGCCACGGUGAAUACGUUCCCGGGCCUUGUACACACCGCCCGUCACACCAUGGGAGUGGGUUGCAAAAGAAGUAGGUAGCUUAACCUUCGGGAGGGCGCUUACCACUUUGUGAUUCAUGACUGGGGUGAAGUCGUAACAAGGUAACCGUAGGGGAACCUGCGGUUGGAUCACCUCCUU